Molecule: ribosomal RNA, 463 nt
Filed under: uncultured bacterium
Lineage: Bacteria
Description: bacterial SSU rRNA
Rfam family: Bacterial small subunit ribosomal RNA
Source: RNAcentral
AUUGAACGCUGGCGGCAUGCCUUACACAUGCAAGUCGAACGGCAGCACGGGAGCAAUCCUGGUGGCGAGUGGCGAACGGGUGAGUAAUAUAUCGGAACGUGCCCAGUCGUGGGGGAUAACGUAGCGAAAGCUACGCUAAUACCGCAUACGAUCUAUGGAUGAAAGCGGGGGAUCGCAAGACCUCGCGCGAUUGGAGCGGCCGAUAUCAGAUUAGCUAGUUGGUGGGGUAAAGGCCCACCAAGGCGACGAUCUGUAGCUGGUCUGAGAGGACGACCAGCCACACUGGGACUGAGACACGGCCCAGACUCCUACGGGAGGCAGCAGUGGGGAAUUUUGGACAAUGGGCGCAAGCCUGAUCCAGCAAUGCCGCGUGCAGGACGAAGGCCUCGGUUGUAACUAGCUUUGUUACGGUAACGAAAAACGGGUACCCUUACCUAAUACAGGGCGUAAUAGACGGUACCGU